CUAGCUACAGGCUUAACACAUGCAAGUCGAGGGGCAGCAUGGUCUUAGCUUGCUAAGGCCGAUGGCGACCGGCGCACGGGUGAGUAACACGUAUCCAACCUGCCGUCUACUCUUGGACAGCCUUCUGAAAGGAAGAUUAAUACAAGAUGGCAUCAUGAGUCCGCAUGUUCACAUGAUUAAAGGUAUUCCGGUAGACGAUGGGGAUGCGUUCCAUUAGAUAGUAGGCGGGGUAACGGCCCACCUAGUCUUCGAUGGAUAGGGGUUCUGAGAGGAAGGUCCCCCACAUUGGAACUGAGACACGGUCCAAACUCCUACGGGAGGCAGCAGUGAGGAAUAUUGGUCAAUGGGCGAGAGCCUGAACCAGCCAAGUAGCGUGAAGGAUGACUGCCCUAUGGGUUGUAAACUUCUUUUAUAAAGGAAUAAAGUCGGGUAUGGAUACCCGUUUGCAUGUACUUUAUGAAUAAGGAUCGGCUAACUCCGUGCCAGCAGCCGCGGUAAUACGGAGGAUCCGAGCGUUAUCCGGAUUUAUUGGGUUUAAAGGGAGCGUAGAUGGAUGUUUAAGUCAGUUGUGAAAGUUUGCGGCUCAACCGUAAAAUUGCAGUUGAUACUGGAUAUCUUGAGUGCAGUUGAGGCAGGCGGAAUUCGUGGUGUAGCGGUGAAAUGCUUAGAUAUCACGAAGAACUCCGAUUGCGAAGGCAGCCUGCUAAGCUGCAACUGACAUUGAGGCUCGAAAGUGUGGGUAUCAAACAGGAUUAGAUACCCUGGUAGUCCACACGGUAAACGAUGAAUACUCGCUGUUUGCGAUAUACGGCAAGCGGCCAAGCGAAAGCGUUAAGUAUUCCACCUGGGGAGUACGCCGGCAACGGUGAAACUCAAAGGAAUUGACGGGGGCCCGCACAAGCGGAGGAACAUGUGGUUUAAUUCGAUGAUACGCGAGGAACCUUACCCGGGCUUAAAUUGCAGAUGAAUUACGGUGAAAGCCGUAAGCCGCAAGGCAUCUGUGAAGGUGCUGCAUGGUUGUCGUCAGCUCGUGCCGUGAGGUGUCGGCUUAAGUGCCAUAACGAGCGCAACCCUUGUUGUCAGUUACUAACAGGUUCCGCUGAGGACUCUGACAAGACUGCCAUCGUAAGAUGUGAGGAAGGUGGGGAUGACGUCAAAUCAGCACGGCCCUUACGUCCGGGGCUACACACGUGUUACAAUGGGGGGUACAGAGGGCCGCUACCACGCGAGUGGAUGCCAAUCCCCAAAACCUCUCUCAGUUCGGACUGGAGUCUGCAACCCGACUCCACGAAGCUGGAUUCGCUAGUAAUCGCGCAUCAGCCACGGCGCGGUGAAUACGUUCCCGGGCCUUGUACACACCGCCCGUCAAGCCAUGGGAGCCGGGGGUACCUGAAGUGCGUAACCGCGAGGAGCGCCCUAGGGUAAAACUGGUGACUGGGGCUA
RNAcentral lists this ribosomal RNA (1443 nucleotides) under uncultured organism. Its description in RNAcentral is "16S ribosomal RNA". It matches the Rfam family "Bacterial small subunit ribosomal RNA". The record is from RNAcentral.